AUCUGAGAGCACUUUGUCAAGG
RNAcentral lists this microRNA (22 nucleotides) under Bos taurus (domestic cattle). Its description in RNAcentral is "bta-miR-11996". The record is from miRBase by way of RNAcentral. Lineage: Eukaryota; Metazoa; Chordata; Mammalia; Artiodactyla; Bovidae.